AGAAGAACCCAGGCAGGUCCUGAAAUAUGCAUAAAAAGAACAGAAUUUCUGGGAAAAAAAAAUCCCAAAAUUUCCCAAAAGUUCUCAGAAGUUUCAGGAAGGCCCUGGAAGGUUCUGGAAGGUGCAGAAAGGUUCAGGAAAGGUCCUGGAAGGUCCCAAAAAAGCCCAGAAAUAGCAGAGACAGGUCCUGAAAGAUGCAUAAAAAGCCCCAAAAUUCCUGGGAAAAAAAUCCCAAAAAAUCCCAGAAAAUUUCUGGAAGGUCCCAGAAGGUUCAGAGAAGGUUCCAGAAGGCACAGAAAGGUCCUGGAAGGUGCAGAAAGAGCCGAAAAACAGCCCAAAAAGAGCCCAGACAGGUCCUGAAAGAUGCAUAAAAAGAUCAGGAUUUGGGGUAAAAAAAUCCCAAAAAAUUCCCAAAAAAUCGCAGAAAAUUUGGGAAGGUCCCGGAAGGUUCAGAGAAGGUUCCAGAAGGUGCAGAGAAGGUCCUGGAAGGUCCCAAAAAAGCCCAGAAAUAGCAGAGACAGGUCCUGGAAGGUACAUAAAAAGCCCCAAAAUUCCGGGAAAAAAAUCCCAAAAAAUCCCAGAAAAUUUGGAAAGGUCCCAGAAGGUUCAGAGAAGGUUCAGAAAAGGUCCUGGAAGGUGCAGAAAGAGCCGAAAAACAGCCCAAAAAGCGCCCAGACAGGUCCUGAAAGAUGCAUAAAAAGCCCCAAAAUUCCAGGAAAAAAAUCCCAAAAAAUCCCAGAAAUUUCUGGAAGGUCCCGGAAGGUUCAGAGAAGGUUCCAGAAGGCACAGAAAGGUCCUGGAAGGUGCAGAAAUAGCCCAGAAAUAGCAGAGACAGGUCCUGGAAGGUAGAUAAAAAGCCCCAAAACUCCGGGAAAAAAAUCCCAAAAAAUUCCCAAAAAAUUGCAGAAAUUUUGGAAAGGCCCCAGAAGGUUCCAGAAUGUUCAGAAAGGUCCUGGAAGGUGCAGAAAGCAUCAGAAAAUGUUCCAGAAGGUGCAGAAACAGCCCAAAAAGAGCAGAGACAGGUCCUGGAAGGUACA
Non-coding RNA from Zonotrichia albicollis (white-throated sparrow), 1037 nucleotides. The record is from RefSeq and is a predicted model, not a curated record. Lineage: Eukaryota; Metazoa; Chordata; Aves; Passeriformes; Passerellidae.